This 463-nucleotide ribosomal RNA is filed under the name uncultured bacterium. RNAcentral's name for it is "bacterial SSU rRNA". It matches the Rfam family "Bacterial small subunit ribosomal RNA", at positions 32 to 524 of the family's 1533-position model. The record is from RNAcentral.
AAUCAACGCUGGCGGCGUGCCUAACACAUGUAAGUCGCACGAGAAAGGGGAGCAAUCCCUGAGUACAGUGGCGCACGGGUGAGUAACACGUGAAUUAUCUACCUCCGAGUGGGGAAUAACUGAGAGAAAUCUUAGCUAAUACCGCAUAACACUUACGAGUCAAAGCAGCAAUGCGCUUGGAGAGGAGUUCGCGGCAGAUUAGUUAGUUGGCGGGGUAAUGGCCCACCAAGACGAUGAUCUGUAUCCGGCCUGAGAGGGCGCACGGACACACUGGAACUGAAACACGGUCCAGACUCCUACGGGAGGCAGCAGUGGGGAAUUUUGCGCAAUGGGGGAAACCCUGACGCAGCAACGCCGCGUGGAGGAUGAAAUAUCUUGGUAUGUAAACUCCUUUCGAUGGGGAAGAUUAUGACGGUACCCAUAGAAGAAGCCCGGCUAACUUCGUGCCAGCCGCCGCCGUAAU